RNAcentral lists this ribosomal RNA (523 nucleotides) under uncultured bacterium. RNAcentral's name for it is "partial 16S ribosomal RNA". It matches the Rfam family "Bacterial small subunit ribosomal RNA", at positions 28 to 523 of the family's 1533-position model. The record is from RNAcentral.
GACGAACGCUGGCGGCGUGCCUAAUACAUGCAAGUCGAACGCUUUUUCUUUCACCGGAGCUUGCUCCACCGAAAGAAAAAGAGUGGCGAACGGGUGAGUAACACGUGGGUAACCUGCCCAUCAGAAGGGGAUAACACUUGGAAACAGGUGCUAAUACCGUAUAACACUAUUUUCCGCAUGGAAGAAAGUUGAAAGGCGCUUUUGCGUCACUGAUUGAUGGACCCGGGGGGCAUUGGCUAGUUGGUGAGGUAACGGCUCACCAAGGCAACGAUGCAUAGCCGACCUGAGAGGGUGAUCGGCCACACUGGGACUGAGACACGGCCCAGACUCCUACGGGAGGCAGCAGUAGGGAAUCUUCGGCAAUGGACGAAAGUCUGACCGAGCAACGCCGCGUGAGUGAAGAAGGUUUUCGGAUCGUAAAACUCUGUUGCUAGAGAAGAACAAGGAUGAGAGUAAAACGUUCAUCCCUUGACGGUAUCUAACCAGAAAGCCACGGCUAACUACGUGCCAGCAGCCGCGGUAA